RNAcentral lists this transfer RNA (71 nucleotides) under Chloroflexota bacterium. RNAcentral's name for it is "Chloroflexi bacterium (groundwater metagenome) tRNA-Gln". It matches the Rfam family "tRNA". From Rfam's summary of the family: Transfer RNA (tRNA) molecules are approximately 80 nucleotides in length. Their secondary structure includes four short double-helical elements and three loops (D, anti-codon, and T loops). Further hydrogen bonds mediate the characteristic L-shaped molecular structure. tRNAs have two regions of fundamental functional importance: the anti-codon, which is responsible for specific mRNA codon recognition, and the 3' end, to which the tRNAs corresponding amino acid is attached (by aminoacyl-tRNA synthetases). tRNAs cope with the degeneracy of the genetic code in two manners: having more than one tRNA (with a specific anti-codon) for a particular amino acid; and 'wobble' base-pairing, i.e. permitting non-standard base-pairing at the 3rd anti-codon position. Lineage: Bacteria; Bacillati; Chloroflexota. The record is from RNAcentral.
UCGGGGGUCGUCUAAUGGCAGGACAGGGGACUUUGGAUCCCUUAAUCCAGGUUCGAGUCCUGGCCCCCGAG